AUACUUCUUACGCUGACGCGACGGUGGCCGAACGAAGACAAACUGUUUCUAUCGUAAGAGGGACGUGUGAAAACCCAGCCGAGGAAACGUCAGCGACUAAGCUAAACAGACAGUCAAAUUGAAGAAACAAGUGCUAAACUCAAAAAUUUUUAAAACAGAAAGAACUCCACGAUGAGAAACCAGGAUGCGGUAGGAGAGCAAAAUGAGAGUAUCACAGGAAAGGUGUCCUAUCAUUCCAUUCCUAGGAAUCUAAUCUGCAGUUCCCGAAAGAGCUGUAAACCACCUUAGGGGUGGACUCCUCAUCCUGUUUCUGCUGGCCGCCCACGCCCCCCAAAAACCAACCAAUUGCUGCAGAGCAAACGAACCAAAACACUAAUGAAUGAAAGCAGGGGCCCACCUCCAGGCCUUGUUCCUCCUCGGUACACAGGACCCCGCAGGAGCGGGGCGGAAGUGUGACCGUACCUCGUCCUCUCCUGGGGGCCGCGGUACUAAAGGAUGACGAGCGGCGAAGGCUCCAGCCAGACGGGGCACCACCUCUCGCCCCCAGACCCGGGACUCACCAGUGCA
Long non-coding RNA from Fukomys damarensis (Damara mole-rat), 567 nucleotides. RefSeq lists it as uncharacterized. The record is from RefSeq and is a predicted model, not a curated record. NCBI's taxonomy places the organism in Eukaryota, Metazoa, Chordata, Mammalia, Rodentia, Bathyergidae. The transcript has 3 exons.